UAGAGGUUCUUGUAGUUGAA
RNAcentral lists this transfer RNA (20 nucleotides) under Ammocrypta bifascia (Florida sand darter). RNAcentral describes it as "partial tRNA-Glu". Lineage: Eukaryota; Metazoa; Chordata; Actinopteri; Perciformes; Percidae. RNAcentral also lists the same sequence under 3 other names. The record is from RNAcentral.